UUUGCCACAGAGGUAAGGAAGGGCAC
Molecule: non-coding RNA, 26 nt
Filed under: Rattus norvegicus (Norway rat)
Lineage: Eukaryota; Metazoa; Chordata; Mammalia; Rodentia; Muridae
Source: RNAcentral